Molecule: long non-coding RNA, 634 nt
Organism: Uranotaenia lowii
Lineage: Eukaryota; Metazoa; Arthropoda; Insecta; Diptera; Culicidae
Exons: 2
Source: RefSeq, a predicted model, not a curated record
ACGUGUUUGCCUCAUCCUACGAUGAUGAUAAAAACAAAGCGGAAGUUCAAACGAUCUCGUUUAUUGUCCUCUGCGUUAUGGCAUUUGUGAUGGCCUUGGCAAUCGCCUUCUUCUUCUUUGCGCUGUGGAUCCUAAAGGGGACUCUGAGGGCGGUGGAACAGGAACUCGGCAAAACUCACUUUGCAUUGACGACUCCAGAAAAGAAGGGAUUGGAAGUGUGAUCGGGUUGAUAACAUUCUACCUUUUUGAGAUAUUGUGCCCAACGUCUUCUCACUUUACGAUGGUCUGCUUACUUUAAGAUGUUAUCUAUGAUUGAUAUCUUCGAAAAGUAAUAAAAAAAUAAAAUAUCUUAUUCCAUCACGCUGCAAAUACAUUAGAUUUUUAUAUUGGAAAUCUAGGUAGAAAAAGUUUAAAGUGUAUUUCUACAUUAAAGUGAUUUUUAAGCUGCUAGAAAGUUGAAAAAAAUGGCAUCACUUGAAAGUAACAUUGCGAAAUAAAAAUCGUAAAAAAAACACGGAAUCAUGUAGUAAAUGAUGAAUUCUAGAGUUUGUUUUGAUUAGGUCGUUUGAACCAUUAUAAACAAAAGCUAUUGACUGUAAACGAUUGAUAAACAUGUAUUCUAUGUUAGAUAAAA